GUGAGUAACACGUGGGCAACCUGCCUGUAAGACUGGGAUAACUUCGGGAAACCGAAGCUAAUACCGGAUAGGAUCUUCUCCUUCAUGGGAGAUGAUUGAAAGAUGGUUUCGGCUAUCACUUACAGAUGGGCCCGCGGUGCAUUAGCUAGUUGGUGAGGUAACGGCUCACCAAGGCAACGAUGCAUAGCCGACCUGAGAGGGUGAUCGGCCACACUGGGACUGAGACACGGCCCAGACUCCUACGGGAGGCAGCAGUAGGGAAUCUUCCGCAAUGGACGAAAGUCUGACGGAGCAACGCCGCGUGAGUGAUGAAGGCUUUCGGGUCGUAAAACUCUGUUGUUAGGGAAGAACAAGUACGAGAGUAACUGCUCGUACCUUGACGGUACCUAACCAGAAAGCCACGGCUAACUACGUGCCAGCAGCCGCGGUAAUACGUAGGUGGCAAGCGUUAUCCGGAAUUAUUGGGCGUAAAGCGCGCGCAGGCGGUUUCUUAAGUCUGAUGUGAAAGCCCACGGCUCAACCGUGGAGGGUCAUUGGAAACUGGGGAACUUGAGUGCAGAAGAGAAAAGCGGAAUUCCACGUGUAGCGGUGAAAUGCGUAGAGAUGUGGAGGAACACCAGUGGCGAAGGCGGCUUUUUGGUCUGUAACUGACGCUGAGGCGCGAAAGCGUGGGGAGCAAA
Molecule: ribosomal RNA, 680 nt
Filed under: Priestia megaterium
Lineage: Bacteria; Bacillati; Bacillota; Bacilli; Caryophanales; Bacillaceae
Description: bacterial SSU rRNA
Rfam family: Bacterial small subunit ribosomal RNA
Source: RNAcentral